GUCCUGGCCGUAAACGCUGCGAGCAAGGUGUUGCAUAUUCUUCGGGAAUGUGCAGUAUCGAAACGAAGGUGUUAAGCUCGCCGCCUGGGAAGUAUGGUCGCAAGACUGAAACUUAAAGGAAUUGGCGGGGGAGCACCACAAGGGGUGCGGCGUGCGGUUUAAUUCAAUUCAACGCGGGAAAUCUCACCAGAGGCGACGGCAGGAUGAAGGUCAGGCUGAAGGUCUUACCCAACGAGCCGAGAGGUAGUGCAUGGCCGUCGU
Molecule: ribosomal RNA, 261 nt
Filed under: uncultured bacterium
Lineage: Bacteria
Description: partial 16S ribosomal RNA
Rfam family: Archaeal small subunit ribosomal RNA
Source: RNAcentral